Molecule: long non-coding RNA, 1346 nt
Organism: Mastomys coucha (southern multimammate mouse)
Lineage: Eukaryota; Metazoa; Chordata; Mammalia; Rodentia; Muridae
Exons: 6
Source: RefSeq, a predicted model, not a curated record
UACAGCAGGAUCAUAGAGCCACGGUCCUCAGAGAGGCCUCCUGCUCAAAGUUCCUUCACAUUUCUGGUAUCUGGGGCCUACUGGAAAUGCUGUGGAAAACUAGCCUACUGUGUUUCUGUGACCUGCUGGAAGUGCACAGUCUCCAUGCCAAGUUGUGACAACUCACACUGUCUUCAAAUACUGGAAUGGUCUCCUGGAGGAGGAGGGGGAAGCUGCAAGAGCCCCAUUGUCCUAGCAUGCAUGAAACCUUGGGUUCCACUGGUAGCAAAGCCCUGUACAGAAACACAGCUGCCCCGACCUCUUGCUGUUCCGGUCGAGAAUUCCCACAGAAUGGGAAGAGAAAGUAAGCAAGACGGCAGGUUCCAAAUCUUAGCUCUUAGGAGAAUGAGGCAGGAGGCUUUCUACAAGUUCAAGGCCAACCUGACACACAAGACUUCAUCUCAAAAAAUGAAGCAUGCUGAUGCCCCCUGUGUACACCGUGGGUCCUACCUAUGCGACGGGACGGUGGUGACCAGCAUGCAGAAUGAACAGAGACUGCAGUAGGAAACAGUAGGGCUGUGAAGGACCCGCGGCCAUCUACUCCCGUCUGAGGGACGAGCUGUAGACAACUUUCCCCAGAGUCGCCGAACUGGGAAGAGCUGAGUCCACACACCAUACUCCAGCAUAGGCUCGUCUGAGGAAGGCAGAGACGUCUCAAGCCUGUGCCACCUUAGCUGACUAGAGAGGCAGGAGACAUUGCAUCUCAUGAUUUGGCAACACCCAUGGUCUCAGACAUCCUGAGUCUCAGAAUCUGUCAGAUUUAGCUUGGAAGUGGCAAAGGGCCUGGUUAAGCUGCAUGAAGAGGCAGUGAAUCCCCAUCAGAACCAGGAGGAGGACAGAAGUAGCGCUAGCUCUUAAGAAGAUGGAUAUGGUACUUGAUGGUGAACAAGCAUCCGGCCAAGAGUGACUAUUACCCUUGUUACAGCCUCAGCCACCUCAGCUCUGAAGAUGGUCUCCCCUGUGCCUUCUGCCCUGUGCUUACAAAGUCUCUGAAGACAGAUAGUGUCCCCUUAGCCCUGUCACUUGCCCCUUCCUGCACUGACACCCCCUCCCCAGCGCUGCUGGUUCUGGGCCACAAAGGAGGCAAGCAGGGGGUUGCCAUGGUGACCUCAAAGCUGGGCAUUAAGACUCAAAGAGGGAGCUAAACUUUUUUUUUUUUUUCUGCCAGCUAUGGCAGCUAUUCUAAACAUUUACCACUAGGCAAUGACUAAACAUCUGGGAAAGAGUGGUGCUAUUCCUUAACACACUGUACAGAGAAGCUGUCACAACACACCCAUGCAAACCCGGACCUAUAAAAAAAUGUUACA